This is a long non-coding RNA of Tympanuchus pallidicinctus (lesser prairie-chicken), 1262 nucleotides long. RefSeq lists it as uncharacterized. Lineage: Eukaryota; Metazoa; Chordata; Aves; Galliformes; Phasianidae. The record is from RefSeq and is a predicted model, not a curated record. The transcript is spliced from 11 exons.
CCCAGGGAGCACGGGCAAAUUGUUUGCACCUGUGCUCCCCCGGUGACCAGAAGGGGUGAACCAAUGGUGGAGCCCCAUUGGGCUCAUAUAAGGGCUGGUCACUGAAGAGGCUGCCUCCUGAGGAAGAGUGCUGCGUAGUCAGAGGUCUUCACCAGUUGGCAUGCAAACGUAUUUAACAGCGUGACUGAGUUGCAGAAAGAGAUGAGCAAGAGGAAGAUUUCAGGAAUUUGCAAAGUGACUCCUGCAGACUGGUGAUGGGAACAGGGGCUUGAGCAUUAAGGCAUUUCUAGGGAUGGCAGAGAUGUAGGAUUUUUCCAGGUAUAAUGAAGAAUUCCUUUAAACCUAAGAACACUGCAUCCUGAAGGAGGAAUUUAAAUUUGUUUCUUCAAUGACAUCAUCUAUUGGCAGCCUUUGACAUAAAUCUGCUCUUCCUCAGAACUCAGACUGUCCUUGCAGAAGAGCUUGUUCUGUAACUAUUUGAUCUGUGUGCAGACUUCAAGGGAGGAAAGCUGCCUGCCACCUGCUUUCCAAGGAACUGCCAGUUUUGCCUGGAGAAAAUAGCCCAUCUGCUAAGUUUCAUUCUUCAGCCCAGGUUACUGGUGAAGACUUUAUAUGUACAUCCUUGUUUUUAAUACUUCCAGCUGUUCAUUCUUCCCAUGAAAGGAAAUCCCUGGGUAGAGACAUAACAAUCCUGAAGAUGUGUUUAACAAGGUGCUGCCAGUGAACUCUGAGAAAGUUUCAUCUGUUACAAAAGAGGAGGACUAAAACUGAGCUGGUUGGCUGGAUGAUUGAAGGGGACAGGUAGCAUCUGCAUAUUUUCAGUCUGAGUAAUUCAAAUGCUCCUUUGAAAGCCAUCACUCCCGGUGGACUUUGUAGCAGUCUCUGGAAAUGGAACUGGGACUUUCAGUGAGAAGGACCUGAUAGCACAACAUAGCCACAAACUGAUUUGGUUUUGAAUGAAAGCAUGCUAGAAAAUUGCAGAAAAUUCCACCUGAGCAUGGCUCUUCUUGUCUGACACAAGAAGUAUGGUACUUUUUCAUGAGCAGCAUUCACACACCCUAUCUGUGUCCGUGUAUUGAUUCUGAAGAUAUUUGGUCAACCUUCUGAGGCAGGUUUAUCUUUAUACAUUGGAAGUCCACAGGAGGCAAUCAUUCAAGAAAGAUGCUACCAGUAAUACUUAUGAAAUGUUGAGCCCAAUAGUUGUCAGAUGCUGUUUUAUAACACUAGCAGAUGAAAACAGAAGUGCAUGCUACGCAGGCUUC